UCAAACUUGGUCAUUUAGAGGAAGUAAAAGUCGUAACAAGGUCUCCGUUGGUGAACCAGCGGAGGGAUCAUUACCGAGUUUACAGCUCCCAAACCCAGUGUGAACGCUACCAGACCGUUGCCUCGGCGGGACCCCCCCCCGCCCCCGGGCUCCUCGCAGCCCCGGGGCCAGGGCGCGCCCGCCGGAGGGACCAACCAAAACCCCCACUGUAUACCCCCUCGCGGGUUCUCUCCACGAUCUGAGCCUUCUCGGCGCCCCUCGCGGGCGUUCCGAAAAUGAAUCAAAACUUUCAACAACGGAUCUCUUGGUUCUGGCAUCGAUGAAGAACGCAGC
This 333-nucleotide unclassified non-coding RNA is filed under the name uncultured fungus. RNAcentral's name for it is "partial contains small subunit ribosomal RNA, internal transcribed spacer 1, and 5.8S ribosomal RNA". The stretch from base 1 to 73 matches the Rfam family "Eukaryotic small subunit ribosomal RNA", at positions 1759 to 1831 of the family's 1831-position model. Lineage: Eukaryota; Fungi. The record is from RNAcentral.